This 214-nucleotide long non-coding RNA is filed under the name Lathyrus oleraceus (garden pea). Its description in RNAcentral is "Pisum sativum (pea) long non-coding RNA (PSAT_LNC006974)". The record is from RNAcentral. Lineage: Eukaryota; Viridiplantae; Streptophyta; Magnoliopsida; Fabales; Fabaceae.
UUGCUUCAAAUGACCAAGUCUGGCCUAAUGCAGUUACUUUCCAUAAUCCCUCACUUUUGCCUAGAUUGCCCUUUCGGGUUCAAUCUAGCGGGAUGAUUAUUUUCUGUUUAUGUCUCUAAUUUGUGCCUGGACCUGCCUUUCUUGUUUUCAAUCCAUCGAGAUUCUCAUUUUUCCUAAGCCUCCCUUUUGAGUUUUCAACUUAGCCAGUUGUUCU